ACCUAUGGCCAUACCACCCUGAGCGUGCCUGAUCUCAUCUGACCUCAGAAGCUAAGCAGGGUUGGGCCUGGUUAGUACUCAGACGGGAGGAACCCCAAAGAUCGCCCGCAAACCACUAGAAGCCAGGGC
This 129-nucleotide ribosomal RNA is filed under the name Propithecus coquereli (Coquerel's sifaka). The record is from RNAcentral. Lineage: Eukaryota; Metazoa; Chordata; Mammalia; Primates; Indriidae.